RNAcentral lists this ribosomal RNA (253 nucleotides) under uncultured bacterium. RNAcentral describes it as "partial 16S ribosomal RNA". It matches the Rfam family "Bacterial small subunit ribosomal RNA", at positions 524 to 776 of the family's 1533-position model. The record is from RNAcentral.
UACGUAGGGGGCAAGCGUUGUCCGGAUUUAUUGGGCGUAAAGAGCGUGUAGGCGGCCAGGUAGGUCCGCUGUGAAAACUCGAGGCUCAACCUCGAGAUGUCGGCGGAAACCAUCUGGCUAGAGUCCGGAAGAGGAAAGUGGAAUUCCCGGUGUAGCGGUGAAAUGCGCAGAUAUCGGGAAGAACACCUAUGGCGAAGGCAGCUCUCUGGGACGGUACUGACGCUGAGACGCGAAAGCGUGGGGAGCGAACAGG